AUUGAACGCUGGCGGCAUGCUUUACACAUGCAAGUCGAGCGGCAGCGCGGGGGCAACCCUGGCGGCGAGCGGCGAACGGGUGAGUAACGCAUCGGAACGUAUCCUGUAGUGGGGAAUAACUCAUCGAAAGGUGAGCUAAUACCGCAUAAGCUCUGAGGAGGAAAGCGGGGGACCGAAAGGCCUCGCGCUGCAGGAGCGGCCGAUGUCCGAUUAGCUAGUUGGUGAGGUAAAGGCUCACCAAGGCGACGAUCGGUAGCUGGUCUGAGAGGAUGAUCAGCCACACUGGGACUGAGACACGGCCCAGACUCCUACGGGAGGCAGCAGUGGGGAAUUUUGGACAAUGGGGGAAACCCUGAUCCAGCCAUGCCGCGUGAGUGAAGAAGGCCUCGGUGUAAGACUCUUUCGGUA
RNAcentral lists this ribosomal RNA (408 nucleotides) under uncultured bacterium. Its description in RNAcentral is "bacterial SSU rRNA". It matches the Rfam family "Bacterial small subunit ribosomal RNA", at positions 29 to 441 of the family's 1533-position model. The record is from RNAcentral.